AACCCCUGUGCCAAAUUUCAUGCUUUUAUCCACUUUUGCACUAUCCUUCCAAAUUUGGGUGCUAAGCCACCUGACUACAGGUACAAAGUCGCUG
This is a long non-coding RNA of Thalassophryne amazonica, 94 nucleotides long. RefSeq lists it as uncharacterized. NCBI's taxonomy places the organism in Eukaryota, Metazoa, Chordata, Actinopteri, Batrachoidiformes, Batrachoididae. The transcript is spliced from 3 exons. The record is from RefSeq and is a predicted model, not a curated record.